GGACAUGUGGCGAAAUUGGUAAACGCGCCAACUUGCCAAGUUGGUCCCUACGGGGUUACGGGUUCGAGUCCCGUCUUGAGUU
RNAcentral lists this transfer RNA (82 nucleotides) under Hymenobacter psychrophilus. Its description in RNAcentral is "tRNA_Gly_GCC". It matches the Rfam family "tRNA". Rfam says of the family: Transfer RNA (tRNA) molecules are approximately 80 nucleotides in length. Their secondary structure includes four short double-helical elements and three loops (D, anti-codon, and T loops). Lineage: Bacteria; Pseudomonadati; Bacteroidota; Cytophagia; Cytophagales; Hymenobacteraceae. The record is from RNAcentral.